UACGGGGGGGGCCAGCGUUGUUCGGAAUUACUGGGCGUAAAGGGCUCGUAGGCGGCCAACUAAGUCAGACGUGAAAUCCCUCGGCUUAACCGGGGAACUGCAUCUGAUACUGGAUGGCUUGAGUUCGGGAGAGGGAUGCGGAAUUCCAGGUGUAGCGGUGAAAUGCGUAGAUAUCUGGAGGAACACCGGUGGCGAAGGCGGCAUCCUGGACCGACACUGACGCUGAGGAGCGAAAGCCAGGGGAGCAAACGGG
This 253-nucleotide ribosomal RNA is filed under the name uncultured bacterium. RNAcentral describes it as "partial 16S ribosomal RNA". It matches the Rfam family "Bacterial small subunit ribosomal RNA", at positions 524 to 776 of the family's 1533-position model. The record is from RNAcentral.